CGAAUUUGAAUAAAGUUGGAUAUAUUUUUGUUGUUUCAAUUGAUUUUGAAAUCGAAACUGCACAAUUCAAAACUGUAUCGCUCCAAUCAGAAUCAAUUUUAUGUGUAAUUUUGAAUUUGUCAAACCGUAACUAAUCAUGUGUGCGAUUUGGGUGAGUGUAGAGGAGCCCCGAUUACGCCAAAAAAAUUAUCUCUCUCUAAACUUGUCCAUGGAUGCUCAACAACUUAUCUCCAUUGAAGACAUAUUCGACUCUUCCCUAAACCUAGAAGAUACCCACUUCAACAGAGGGUUACUUAUUGGGAAAGACGAGGGUCGGCAGGUGGGUCUCAGAUCCGGGUUCGAAAUUGGCGAUCGAGGAACUAGGAUUUUACAGAGGCAGCAUUGAUUUGUGGACUUCCUUUUCUUCAAGGGUUGCAAAUGGAGGAGUUGGAUCAGAAGUAGCAGUUUUGGGAGCCGGAAACUGAGUUCGUUAGUGAUAUUAUUGAUGAUUUUUUGAGGUUGAAGUUAAAGGCUAUUUGUGCCACAAUCCCAAAAGGAUGAGAUUUAGAGUUUUGAAUUGUGUAGGGGCAAGGUAUGUGUAUGAAGAUUGUUUUUAUUUACACUCCGUCUGAGUUUUGAACAAAAAAAAAAAAAAUAGAAAACUUAAACUAAAACAGAAAAGAAAAGAAUAGAAAACUUAAAGUUUUCUUUUGUGUUGUUUCUGAGUUUUUAAUAGAAAAGGAUAGAAAAUUUAAAAUUGAGGACAUGAGUUGUAAUUUAAAAUUUAUUAUAUUAAAAGUUGAGGAUAAUAUGAGAAUUAUAAAAAUAUUACUUAUUCUAAUUUCUUUUCCGUCCAAAUCAUACCAAUUUUGGACGGAAAACUUUGGCAGGAAAAGUGGCCAAGUUUUUUAUCCAUUUCUUUUCUUUUCUAUUUAUUAAAAAACUCAAAAACAUAAAAAUUAAAAAGAAAACUUAAAUUUUCCGUCCAUUUCUUUUUUUUUUCUGUUUAUUUUAAAACUCAAAAAGAGAGCGUUAGUAUAUAUGUAUGAAGUUUGUUUUCAUCAAGUACAUGUAACAUGUUUCCUGCUGGUUGUGAUUGUCUUGAUAAUUCAGAUUGUGUUUUGUAUAAUUCAGAUGGACACAUGCUUUGUGUGGCAAAAACAUGAAUAUAUUUAAAUUUUAUUUAUUUAUCUUUUAAUCAUGAUGAGUAAAAAUACGUGAAAUUUAAAUUUAAUUUUUAUAUUCAAUUUUCACGUCUAUUCAUGCAAGGCACUGUAGUAGCUAUGUUGACCAUGUCUUUCUCAUAUGAUAUCUAUCUAUGCAUUUUCACAACCUUGUAUUUGUUUUGUUUUGAAAUUCAUUUAAAAUUCAUGAACAAGAGAAUUGAUCAUCCCAUAAUAUUCUUUUACUUUCUUUCUCUUCAUUCUAAAUUCAAAAAACACAAUAUUAAUUACAUCACCACCGCCUAGACACGCAACUUUUAGUUAAUUUCUAAUGUAAAUUGAAAAGUUAUGUUUGUUUUAUUUCAUUUAAAUUAUAAAUUGGGUACAACAAAUUUAACACAAAAAAUAAUAAAUUAAUAUUUAGGUGCUUAUGCAACUAAGAGUUUAUUUAAUAUUUAAACACACAUUUUCAUUUAUUUAUCAAACAUAGGUACCUAAUCACCUAAAUAAAUUUAAAAUAAUUACACCAAACAUUAUAUUCCUUCUGUUUUAAAAUAUUUACAAGUUCAAAAUUAUUAUAAAUGAAUUUUAAAAUUUAAUAAUAGAAUCAUAAAAUUUUGUAUAUUAUCUAAAUAAUACUGGUAAUUGUAACAUUUAUUAUUCUAAUCAUUAGAUAAAAUUAUAUAAUAAACUUACCAUCAUCAGUGUAAAAUAUUUUUAAGGCGUUGUCAAGUUAUGGUUUGGGGCCACUUUCCCGCAAUCCCUCUUCCAGGUUCAGCAGCUUAUUCUUCUUCAUUUCUGAUUCAAAUUUCUGAAUGUAACUGUACGAUCUAAUGGUGGUUGUAAAAUCUAAGCAAGCAGGUGGGUAUUAACAAGGGUUACAAACAAGUGUGAGAAUAUACUUUAUUUAUUUUUUAAUUUUUAAUGCUUAAUUUUGGUGUGCUCAUAUAUUAUAUAAUAUGCUCUAUGUAGUUUAUAUGAAUGCAAUAGUUUAUGCUGAUGCUAGUAUUUGGUAAUUUAUGUACAGGUGAAGAUAGAUAUCAUGUCAUUAGUGAAGGGACAUAUUAAGUUGGUUGAAAAGGUACUCUAGAUUGUGGCCAAAAGUUCCUUCACUUAGCAACAGCUAGCCUUGUGUAUUCAUGUACACUUGUUUUUAAUAGAAGCAGUACAUCAUAAUUCUUAUGCUAGUGCAAUAAUUUUCAACUGCCUAAUACCUUGCGGUUCCUUGAAUUGAUUUCUCUUCUUUGUUACGUAAAGCAAGACGAGGCAUGUUCUAUUCUACCGUACCAUGUAGUUCUGAAGUUAUUCUGCAUUAAAUGAUUAAUGUUCGGGCAAUGAUGAAUUACUGUUGGUAGACAAUAUCUUAAAACUCUUUUGCAAUUGUUCCUCUCUGUGUGUGUGUGCGUGUGUGUUUUGGAUUAUAUUCUUCUACUAAUGAAAGGAAUAAAAGGAAAACCCCCAUCUAAGGGAAUGGAACCCGUAUACAGACUAUGGAAAAGGAAAACCCGUAGUUUACUCACAACUUACAACUCUCACCUUAUAUAUAUGUAUAUGCAUUCUGUAAUUGAGUAAGUUGAUGUUAAUAUGUAAUGAUUGAUGAAAGUAUGUGUUCAUUAAACUUACUUCCUUCUGCUCUAUAGGAUGUCACAUAAUCAUUAAUAAAUAUGAAAGGAG
Molecule: long non-coding RNA, 2816 nt
Filed under: Panax ginseng (ginseng)
Lineage: Eukaryota; Viridiplantae; Streptophyta; Magnoliopsida; Apiales; Araliaceae
Description: long non-coding RNA (PGIN_LNC013715)
Source: RNAcentral